AUAAACCAAGAAAGGAGCUAGAAAUGAAUCCUAUGGAAAAUAUUAAUUCUACGAUUAAUUAAAAACAGGCCUCCGUGAAAAGCUAUCCUAAAUAGAUUUGUGUAUAAUUCAUUAGCAUUUCCUGUUUCUGUGCAAAAUCACCAAACAUUUUAAAAUAAUAAACAAGGAAUUUGAAAAAUUUUUUCAGAUGGAUACUUUAAGUGCCCCUUGAAUAUAUGGCAAUUCCAGUCACCUGCGGGUUUCUCCGAUUCUGAUAAAGAACACAUGUCAAUUCCAAGAGACUUAUCCCUCGAGAAUCGCCAAGAGACGUAUCCUGCCACGUACUUCAAUCCUUGACAAAUUUUUUCGGUGGCCAGUGCUUCUUCUACCGUCUUUAAAAGUGCACUUUCGUCAAUCGAGGGGAGAAUACAACAGUGUCAGUACCAAGGAAUCAAUGUGGGCUCACCGUAGUUUGUAGCUGCAAUUUUUCUUCUGCAUAUUUUCAACCAUUUCGCACGGAAGUGCGCAAUUUUUGGUAAUUGAUGAAAAGUUACUGCACAGUGUAUCACCAUUUUUAUCUACAAGAAAAAGACAGUGCUGCAUAUAGUAAUUUUACCCUUGG
Molecule: long non-coding RNA, 601 nt
Organism: Belonocnema kinseyi
Lineage: Eukaryota; Metazoa; Arthropoda; Insecta; Hymenoptera; Cynipidae
Exons: 3
Source: RefSeq, a predicted model, not a curated record